RNAcentral lists this ribosomal RNA (500 nucleotides) under uncultured bacterium. RNAcentral's name for it is "partial 16S ribosomal RNA". It matches the Rfam family "Bacterial small subunit ribosomal RNA", at positions 30 to 523 of the family's 1533-position model. The record is from RNAcentral.
AUUGAACGCUGGCGGCAUGCCUUACACAUGCAAGUCGAACGGCAGCACGGGAGCAAUCCUGGUGGCGAGUGGCGAACGGGUGAGUAAAGUAUCGGAACGUGCCCAGUCGUGGGGGAUAACGUAGCGAAAGUUACGCUAAUACCGCAUACGAUCUAUGGAUGAAAGCGGGGGAUCGCAAGACCUCGCGCGAUUGGAGCGGCCGAUAUCAGAUUAGGUAGUUGGUGGGGUAAAGGCUCACCAAGCCGACGAUCUGUAGCUGGUCUGAGAGGACGACCGGCCACACUGGGACUGAGACACGGCCCAGACUCCUACGGGAGUCAGCAGUGGGGAAUGUUGGACAAUGGGCGAAAGCCUGAUCCAGCCAUGCCGCGUGCAGGAUGAAGGCCUUCGGGUUGUAAACUGCUUUUGUACGGAACGAAAAGGUUUGGCCUAAUAAGCUGAGCUCAUGACGGUACCGUAAGAAUAAGCACCGGCUAACUACGUGCCAGCAGCCGCCGUAA